RNAcentral lists this ribosomal RNA (2924 nucleotides) under Klebsiella pneumoniae. RNAcentral's name for it is "bacterial LSU rRNA". It matches the Rfam family "Bacterial large subunit ribosomal RNA". Lineage: Bacteria; Pseudomonadati; Pseudomonadota; Gammaproteobacteria; Enterobacterales; Enterobacteriaceae. The record is from RNAcentral.
GGGUUGUGAGGUUAAGCGACUAAGCGUACACGGUGGAUGCCCUGGCAGUCAGAGGCGAUGAAGGACGUGCUAAUCUGCGAAAAGCGUCGGUAAGGUGAUAUGAACCGUUAUAACCGGCGAUGUCCGAAUGGGGAAACCCAGUGUGAUUCGUCACACUAUCGUUAACUGAAUACAUAGGUUAACGAGGCGAACCGGGGGAACUGAAACAUCUAAGUACCCCGAGGAAAAGAAAUCAACCGAGAUUCCCCCAGUAGCGGCGAGCGAACGGGGAGCAGCCCAGAGUCUGAAUCAGCUUGUGUGUUAGUGGAACGGUCUGGAAAGUCCGACGGUACAGGGUGAUAGUCCCGUACACCAAAAUGCACAGGCUGUGAACUCGAAGAGUAGGGCGGGACACGUGGUAUCCUGUCUGAAUAUGGGGGGACCAUCCUCCAAGGCUAAAUACUCCUGACUGACCGAUAGUGAACCAGUACCGUGAGGGAAAGGCGAAAAGAACCCCGGCGAGGGGAGUGAAAAAGAACCUGAAACCGUGUACGUACAAGCAGUGGGAGCACCUUCGGGUGUGACUGCGUACCUUUUGUAUAAUGGGUCAGCGACUUAUAUUCUGUAGCAAGGUUAACCGUAUAGGGGAGCCGCAGGGAAACCGAGUCUUAACUGGGCGUUAAGUUGCAGGGUAUAGACCCGAAACCCGGUGAUCUAGCCAUGGGCAGGUUGAAGGUUGGGUAACACUAACUGGAGGACCGAACCGACUAAUGUUGAAAAAUUAGCGGAUGACUUGUGGCUGGGGGUGAAAGGCCAAUCAAACCGGGAGAUAGCUGGUUCUCCCCGAAAGCUAUUUAGGUAGCGCCUCGUGAAUUCAUCUUCGGGGGGUAGAGCACUGUUUCGGCUAGGGGGUCAUCCCGACUUACCAACCCGAUGCAAACUACGAAUACCGAAGAAUGUUAUCACGGGAGACACACGGCGGGUGCUAACGUCCGUCGUGAAGAGGGAAACAACCCAGACCGCCAGCUAAGGUCCCAAAGUCAUGGUUAAGUGGGAAACGAUGUGGGAAGGCACAGACAGCCAGGAUGUUGGCUUAGAAGCAGCCAUCAUUUAAAGAAAGCGUAAUAGCUCACUGGUCGAGUCGGCCUGCGCGGAAGAUGUAACGGGGCUAAACCAUGCACCGAAGCUGCGGCAGCGACACUAUGUGUUGUUGGGUAGGGGAGCGUUCUGUAAGCCUGCGAAGGUGACCUGUGAGGGUUGCUGGAGGUAUCAGAAGUGCGAAUGCUGACAUAAGUAACGAUAAAGCGGGUGAAAAGCCCGCUCGCCGGAAGACCAAGGGUUCCUGUCCAACGUUAAUCGGGGCAGGGUGAGUCGACCCCUAAGGCGAGGCCGAAAGGCGUAGUCGAUGGGAAACAGGUUAAUAUUCCUGUACUUGGUGUUACUGCGAAGGGGGGACGGAGAAGGCUAUGUUAGCCGGGCGACGGUUGUCCCGGUUUAAGCAUGUAGGCUGGUUGUCCAGGCAAAUCCGGAUAAUCAAGGCUGAGGUGUGAUGACGAGGCACUACGGUGCUGAAGUAACAAAUGCCCUGCUUCCAGGAAAAGCCUCUAAGCAUCAGGUAACAUCAAAUCGUACCCCAAACCGACACAGGUGGUCAGGUAGAGAAUACCAAGGCGCUUGAGAGAACUCGGGUGAAGGAACUAGGCAAAAUGGUGCCGUAACUUCGGGAGAAGGCACGCUGGUGUGUAGGUGAAGUCCCUGCGGAUGGAGCUGAGACCAGUCGAAGAUACCAGCUGGCUGCAACUGUUUAUUAAAAACACAGCACUGUGCAAACACGAAAGUGGACGUAUACGGUGUGACGCCUGCCCGGUGCCGGAAGGUUAAUUGAUGGGGUUAUCCGUAAGGAGAAGCUCUUGAUCGAAGCCCCGGUAAACGGCGGCCGUAACUAUAACGGUCCUAAGGUAGCGAAAUUCCUUGUCGGGUAAGUUCCGACCUGCACGAAUGGCGUAAUGAUGGCCAGGCUGUCUCCACCCGAGACUCAGUGAAAUUGAACUCGCUGUGAAGAUGCAGUGUACCCGCGGCAAGACGGAAAGACCCCGUGAACCUUUACUAUAGCUUGACACUGAACAUUGAGCCUUGAUGUGUAGGAUAGGUGGGAGGCUUUGAAGCGUGGACGCCAGUCUGCGUGGAGCCAACCUUGAAAUACCACCCUUUAAUGUUUGAUGUUCUAACGUUGGCCCCUUACCGGGGUUGCGGACAGUGUCUGGUGGGUAGUUUGACUGGGGCGGUCUCCUCCCAAAGCGUAACGGAGGAGCACGAAGGUUAGCUAAUCCUGGUCGGACAUCAGGAGGUUAGUGCAAUGGCAUAAGCUAGCUUGACUGCGAGCGUGACGGCGCGAGCAGGUGCGAAAGCAGGUCAUAGUGAUCCGGUGGUUCUGAAUGGAAGGGCCAUCGCUCAACGGAUAAAAGGUACUCCGGGGAUAACAGGCUGAUACCGCCCAAGAGUUCAUAUCGACGGCGGUGUUUGGCACCUCGAUGUCGGCUCAUCACAUCCUGGGGCUGAAGUAGGUCCCAAGGGUAUGGCUGUUCGCCAUUUAAAGUGGUACGCGAGCUGGGUUUAGAACGUCGUGAGACAGUUCGGUCCCUAUCUGCCGUGGGCGCUGGAGAAUUGAGGGGGGCUGCUCCUAGUACGAGAGGACCGGAGUGGACGCAUCACUGGUGUUCGGGUUGUCAUGCCAAUGGCACUGCCCGGUAGCUAAAUGCGGAAGAGAUAAGUGCUGAAAGCAUCUAAGCACGAAACUUGCCCCGAGAUGAGUUCUCCCUGAGACUUUAAGUCUCCUGAAGGAACGUUGAAGACGACGACGUUGAUAGGCCGGGUGUGUAAGCGCAGCGAUGCGUUGAGCUAACCGGUACUAAUGAACCGUGAGGCUUAACCUUACAACGCCGAAG